Molecule: non-coding RNA, 26 nt
Filed under: Homo sapiens (human)
Lineage: Eukaryota; Metazoa; Chordata; Mammalia; Primates; Hominidae
Source: RNAcentral
UGGGUGUACUUUGUGCCAGUGACAUU